AGUAAAUUUUACUCAUUUUAUUAUAAAAGUGGCUUUACCCAUAUAUGAGUAAACGAAUUUACCCAUAUUUGGUUGAAAAUAUUUGAGCGUCCUUGUUUUCCUGAAAAUGAUCUUUUGCUGUUCGGCAGGCAGUACAAGUGCAAAAUCAACAAAUAAAUUUCUGUGGAUUCAUUAGCUAAUAAACGGUGUCGAAACAAGUUAAGGGGCCACGGACCAAAGGAAAUAAUCUCCCAGGAGGAAACAAAGGAUCAACCGGUGAACAAAUUACCGCACAUGUGGCGUACAACUUAAUAAGGAUCUCUCCAAUUGAUACCGUAGCCAGUUUACUCCUGAGUAAAGGGGAGAAUUGGCAAUGCCACCAUCAAGCAGCCCAUCUAUAGCCCUGGGAUUCCAGCUCACGGAACCGCGAAACCGUAAAAUGAAAGGUCAGCCUAUCCAUCGAAUCAGCCGUUGCAGGCCCGUGCCCACCAGCUUCUGUUGUGGACUAUAACGACCUCCGUGAAUAGAUGCUACCCAUGUUCCAGCAGCAAACGUUAACACCCGGAAGCAUGUCAACUGCGGCGUAAUCCUCGGCACCUGCUGUUAGAUGCUGGACCUUAUUUUAGUGUAAAUACCAAGUAUUAUUGUACUAUUAUAAAAUGCCUCGUUAUACUGUUAUAUUUAUACUGUUUUAAAUUUCAUUUAUUUGUUAUAAUAAAAUGAUGU
Molecule: long non-coding RNA, 705 nt
Organism: Armigeres subalbatus
Lineage: Eukaryota; Metazoa; Arthropoda; Insecta; Diptera; Culicidae
Exons: 3
Source: RefSeq, a predicted model, not a curated record